AUGGGCCUGCGCACCAUUACCUUGUUGGUAAGGUAACGGCUUACCGGGGCUACAAUGGUUGGCUGGUCUGACAGGAUGAUCAACCACACUGGCACUGAAACACGGGCCAGACUCCUACAGGAGGCAGCAGUGGGGAAUAUUGCGCAAUGGGCGAAAGCCUGACGCAACAACGCCGCGUGAGUGAUGAAUGUUUUCGGAUCGUAAAGCUCUGUCAAAAGGGAAGAAUCUCUGGCGAGAACAAUACCUCGUCAGUUUGACGGUACCUUUAAAGGAAGCACCGGCUAACUCCGUGCCAGCAGCCGCGGUAAUACUGAGGGUGCUAGCGUUGUUCGGAAUUACUGGGCGUAAAGCGCGUGUAGGCGGACUAAGAAAUCUGGUGUGAAAUCCCUCGGCUCAACCGAAGACGUGCGCUCGAAACCAUUAGUCUAGAGACCAGAGGGGAUUGAGGAAUUCCCAGUGUAGAGGUGAAAUUCGUAGAUAUUGGGAGGAACACCAGUGAUGAAGAUGCCGAUCUAGACGGGUUCUGACGCUGAGACGCGAAAGCGUGGGUAGCAAACAGGAUUAGAUACCCUGGUAGUCCACGCCGUAAAUGAUGGGUACUAGGUGCUGGAGGAAUUGACCCCUGCAGUGCAGACUCUAACGCAUUAAGUACGCGACAAGCGAAGUACGGUGGCAAGGCUGAAACUCAAAGGAAUUUCAGAGGAACCGCACAGGCGGUGGAGUAGCAGGUUAAAUUCGACGCAACGUGAAAAACAUUACAUGAGCUUGACAUGGGGAGAACAUCCUAGAGAUAGGAUUGUGCCAUUGGGGGAAUUCCUAGACAGGUCAACCCAGGUGGUGCUCAGCUGUCGUCAUGUGAUGCUGUGAUAAGUCGGGCAAAGUGCGCAACCCAGCUUAAUCGUUGCUAUCAUUUAUGAUGAUCUAUGUAAGGAGCCGGCGACAAAUAAACCGAAGGAAGGGGGGGAGGCAAUUAAGCCCUCCCGGCCUAUCCGUCCAGGCACACACACUACAAUCAAUGGUACAAACAAAGGGCAACCAAACCGGGAGGUGGAAUCUAAUCUCAAAAAACCGAUAUAUGUUCAGAUUGGAUUCAACCACUCGGCUCCAAGAAGG
RNAcentral lists this ribosomal RNA (1113 nucleotides) under uncultured organism. RNAcentral's name for it is "bacterial SSU rRNA". It matches the Rfam family "Bacterial small subunit ribosomal RNA", at positions 225 to 1326 of the family's 1533-position model. The record is from RNAcentral.